CCUACGGGGGGCUGCAGUGGGGAAUAUUGCGCAAUGGGCGAAAGCCUGACGCAGCAACGCCGCGUGCGGGACGACGGCCUUCGGGUUGUAAACCGCUUUCAGCAGGGACGAAACUGACGGUACCUGCAGAAGAAGCACCGGCUAACUACGUGCCAGCAGCCGCGGUGAUACGUAGGGUGCGAGCGUUGUCCGGAAUUAUUGGGCGUAAAGAGCUCGUAGGCGGUCUGUCACGUCGGAAGUGAAAACUCGGGGCUCAACCCCGAGCCUGCUUUCGAUACGGGCAGACUUGAGGAAUGUAGGGGAGAACGGAAUUCCUGGUGGAGCGGUGGAAUGCGCAGAUAUCAGGAGGAACACCAGUGGCGAAGGCGGUUCUCUGGACAUUAACUGACGCUGAGGAGCGAAAGCGUGGGGAGCAAACAGGCUUAGAUACCCGGGUAGUC
This 440-nucleotide ribosomal RNA is filed under the name uncultured Micropruina sp. RNAcentral describes it as "bacterial SSU rRNA". It matches the Rfam family "Bacterial small subunit ribosomal RNA", at positions 338 to 795 of the family's 1533-position model. Lineage: Bacteria; Bacillati; Actinomycetota; Actinomycetes; Propionibacteriales; Nocardioidaceae. The record is from RNAcentral.